This 283-nucleotide ribosomal RNA is filed under the name Liturgusa maya. RNAcentral describes it as "partial 12S ribosomal RNA". Lineage: Eukaryota; Metazoa; Arthropoda; Insecta; Mantodea; Liturgusidae. The record is from RNAcentral.
UUACUAGAUAAGGUCUUGAAACUUAAAGAAUUUGGCGGUAUUAUAGUCUAUUUAGAGGAAUCUGUUAUGUAAUCGAUAAUCCGCGUUGAACCUUACUUAUUUAAUUUCUUGUAUAUCGCUGUUUAAAAAUAUAUUUUUAGAUUAUUUUCUAAAUUAUUUAAUUUUUUAAUAUUUCAAGUCAAGGUGCAGGUUAUAAAUAAAGUUAAAUAAAUGGAUUACAAUAAAUUUUAUUUAUAUGAAUUGUUGUUUUAAUAUAAUUUGAAGGUGGAUUUAUUUGUAAAUU